Long non-coding RNA from Macaca mulatta (Rhesus monkey), 3607 nucleotides. RefSeq lists it as uncharacterized. Lineage: Eukaryota; Metazoa; Chordata; Mammalia; Primates; Cercopithecidae. The record is from RefSeq and is a predicted model, not a curated record.
CAAUAUAGUGCUUGUUCGGGUUAAUCCCGGUUUUGACAACUGCCAGAGCUGUUCAAAAAAGGAAAUGAUUAAAUAAAUAAGACAAACCACUAAAUCAAAUUAGCAAACGAACCCCUCUACUGACUCACUCAAGGGUUUCUUAACCUCAAGAAAAGAGUUUUGAGUGAGGAGAAGUAAAGGUACCUUCCGUGUCAUUACGUAAGCAUCUCCUGCUUUGAGGAUUACGGGAAUUACCACCGGCAGCCAGCCAGGAGCUCCGCUGCCUAUUACACCUGCCUGACCCAGGCUCUCUGAGCCCAGCCCGAGGCUGGGCAGCCAAAGCCCAGUGGUUCGGGAACUGUCCGCGGACGCGUCUCCAAACCGUGCCGAGAUACCAGCGCGAAAGAGGUUUUCUCAGACGGACGUUCAGUGUUCCCUCGGAGAACCGACGCAUGUUCCAAGAAUGAGGACCUUCUUCAUUUGUCCAAACACUUCUGCAUGUACAUAGUAAACCCUCAUCCACAUUCAACCCGGCUGAGUUUCCUGGGGCCUGAACCGGCAUGUCUGCCGCUGUAUUCAGCUUCUUACUAGAAGAAAAUACUAAUGUCAGGUGAGAAAAUGAAGGCACGGAGAAGACAGUGUUCUCUCGGUCGCAUAACUGGUAAGAAUAGUUUGUGCACUAGGCCCAUAAUAACAAAGGCUGACAUUUCCUGAGUGAUUGCUAUGUGCUAGGCUCUGGACAACGGGCUGUUCAAGAAUCAACCAAGUCAUUUAGUUCUCACAACAAUCCUUGGAGAUUAUUUCCUCGUUUUCAGGGGAGGAAGUGGAGGCACAGAGAAGUUUAACUUGCCCGAGUUCAAACAACUCGCAAGUAGUGAUGAGAUGCCUGCCCGGGCACCCUGCUCAACCUCUGUACUCUACUCCCUCUCCAGAGCCCAAAGCUUCUCCAAAGCCUACAGAUUAGAACUGACCUUUCAUUCAGUUCCCUCCCUGCUCCUGCUACACUUUAGGCUUGCUUAAUUCUCACACUUCGAUCAAAGCAGAUGGCAGGUUCUCUCCCAAUUCUGUUAUUAAUGAACCUGUUGGUCCCCUAGUCACCAGAGCUAGGGCACUGCAGGAGUUAACAAGCCUUUGUAAAGAAAUUAUUUGCGUGGAAGACAGCUUUCUUUUUUCUGUGAUAUCUUCUUCAUAUGCCAUGGGCUCUGUUCUCACUUCUUUCUCACAUACCAGAAGCUGACUCUAGGAGGCCUGAGCACCUUAUCUAUGGUCAAUUCCUCUGCCUGACUCUAUCACACUACCACUUGUAGAUUUUGCUCACACUUCCACAACAAGAUUAAAUUUGGAUCACAUUUUUUUCUCUUUGUGUUGGUAAAUUUCUGUUGGCAUGAGAAACAAAAAAUACUCAAAGCAAGUGCCCAUCCCCUCUCCGUCCUCCCUGGCCAGAUAAACUGCAAAUUCAAUUUGUUCAACACGCUCUCUGAAUGCUUUUGACUUCAAGGUACUUCCGGUUUCUAGGGUAAUCUAUGUGAUUAUGAACAAUUUCUGCAUCUGGGUUUUAGUUGUCAUGGAUGCAGGGACCACACACAGAUGGAGUUAUGUAGCGACAUUCUAUCAGGCACUGGCCGCUUUAAAUAGGGCAGGUUAAGUAAGUGACUGUAUGGCAGAAAUAAAGAUUUCUGAAGACCACUUCACAGGAAAAAUUUAUUCAAUUGAAAUUCAGCAAAACUUUAAGGAGUCUUUCCGGAGUGCCAAGCAUGUGCAACUCUAACUUGAUAUCUAAGAUACUGGUUUGGUUCUCAAAGAAUCAUGACCCCUACACACUAAUCAGUGAAAAUUUCCAACACUUUUCUAUUGUAUGCAGGAUAGAGUUGAAAUAAUUUAUUUGAUUAAAAUAGUUCAUUUUAAUUGCUGAUUAAAAAUUUUAAUUUAUUAAUUUAAUGAGAGCAUAUUUAAUCACUUAUUUUAUGCCAGCCCUUAUGCUAGGCAAUGGGAAUAUAAUGGUUGUAAUAGCCAGGGUAGUGUAGGUUUUGCUGCUGUAAUAAACCAGCCCAAAGUCUCCCAAGCUUAAGCAAUAAUGGUUUAUAUCUUGCUCAUCAAAAUCUGCUAUGGAUCUAGGUUACUCCUCAGAGUAGCUGUCCUCAGGAUUCAGUGUUGUACCACCAUAUCGAAACCUGCUUUUGUUACAAUAGGUAGCUAGCCAGGCAUGAGUGGGGCAGGAGAGAGCUCCCCCGACACCCCGCCAGGAAAAUCAGGAAACCAUCAUGUGGUGGCCAGGCAGUUAUUAACUAUCACUCUAAAAUAAUAAUUGGUUACAGCUGGCACGAGGGAAUGGCCAUCUCCCCAUAAAUAGGGAACACCUGAAACUGGUAAUCAGCAGCUUCCAAUAAGAUCUCAGGAGUUGGGCAACUGAACUCAAGUAUGUGCAUUAAGAUGCAAAAUGGUGGAGUUUAACUGGGAUAUGACUUUCUGGGGGCAUUAAAGGAAUGCAAGAUGCCAGAAGUAGGCCAGCAUGUAAAACUCUAAGUCCAAGGUCAAAUGGGGCACUUGACCUCCAAGAUGCCCGCUUGGGCCUCUUCCAACUGUACUUCCUUCCUUGCUGCUCUAAAGCUUUUUAAUUAACUUCCACUCUUGCUCUGAAACUUGCCUCAGUCUCUUUUUCUGCCUUAUGCCUCUCAAUUGUAUUUUUUCUUCCGAGGCAAGAAUUGAGGUUGCUGCAGACCUGUACUGAUUCCCCGCCAGUGACUUGGAUAGCUUCCACCGCUAACAGUUUCACAUCCACUGAGUUAGGGGAAGAGAGAAGUGGAGAAUUAAGUAUUCAAAUCUCCCAUCUAAAAGUGACACUUCUGUUCAUAUUUUAUGGGUUAAAGCAAGUCAAUGGUCAUGCCCAACUUCAGGAAAGCAAGAAAGCAUGUUAUUUUUGUGUGCUCGGAUAGAGACGAGAACUCUAUAGCAGGGAACACUGUGAUGUGUGCCACAGGGGCUAAUUGUCUCUGCACCAGGAAACUUACUUUCUAGUAGUGGGGAGUUAAACAUUGAAUGAAUAAUCACAAAGACAUAUGCAAUAGCAUUAUAGUAAAUGCCACAAUAAUAAUAAUAAUGAAAAUUUGUUAAUUGUUCCAAGCAUUUUAUGUACAGUCAUGUGUUUAAAUUUGUACACUCUGACUUUGUGAGAUAGAUACUGUAGAAGACCAGAAUAUGCCACUUCAAAAUAUGUCUUUUUGGUAUAAGUAUUUGUUUGAGAAACAGCAGCUAUAGGAGCAACUCUGAGAAUAGAGUGGAAUUACCUUUUUGUAGGGUGAAUUUAAAUCUAUAAAGGGAAUUUUCAUUUGUAAGAAUGUCUUCCUCUGAGUACUAGGAAGAAAAGGAUGGCACUAAAUUACUAGAAACUCUUAUUAAUGGAGAGGGCACUGACUUAAAUCUGCAUAACAAACUUUACCUUUGUUUACCAUGCUUUACCUGGUCACUUCCUCAUAACUGCACCCCUACCCCGAUACUCCUCUUUCUUUGUUUCAGCUGAAGAUGAUAUUUAAGUUUGAAUUCAAAGCCACCUCUUUGAAAAUUACUAAUUCCCUAUCUCAUAUAUAUAUAUAUGAAAUAUACAUGUUAAUAAACUUGUGGGAUUUUUGUU